AGAGCACUCCUACGGGAGGCAGCAGUGGGGAAUAUUGCACAAUGGGCGCAAGCCUGAUGCAGCCAUGCCGCGUGUAUGAAGAAGGCCUUCGGGUUGUAAAGUACUUUCAGCAGUGAGGAAGGUGGAUAUGUUAAUAGCAUAUCAUUUGACGUUAGCUGCAGAAGAAGCACCGGCUAACUCCGUGCCAGCAGCCGCGGUAAUACGGAGGGUGCGAGCGUUAAUCGGAAUUACUGGGCGUAAAGCGCAUGCAGGUGGUUUGUUAAGUCAGAUGUGAAAGCCCGGGGCUCAACCUCGGAAUUGCAUUUGAAACUGGCAAACUAGAGUACUGUAGAGGGGGUAGAAUUUCAGGUGUAGCGGUGAAAUGCGUAGAGAUCUGAAGGAAUACCGGUGGCGAAGGCGGCCCCCUGGACAGAUACUGACACUCAGAUGCGAAAGCGUGGGGAGCAAACAGGAUUAGAUACCCUGGUAG
Molecule: ribosomal RNA, 469 nt
Filed under: uncultured bacterium
Lineage: Bacteria
Description: bacterial SSU rRNA
Rfam family: Bacterial small subunit ribosomal RNA
Source: RNAcentral